Rhopalosiphum padi (bird cherry-oat aphid) is the source of this 927-nucleotide long non-coding RNA. RefSeq lists it as uncharacterized. The record is from RefSeq and is a predicted model, not a curated record. The transcript has 3 exons. NCBI's taxonomy places the organism in Eukaryota, Metazoa, Arthropoda, Insecta, Hemiptera, Aphididae.
ACGUUGGGAGGGUAUAGCGAUCUCUACCACAAAAUCAAUGUGAUGCUGUUGACUAAUAUUUUUGAUAAUGUUCACGAUUUAUGUUUGGAAACGUAAAAUUUAGAUCCCGCUUUCUAUUGUACAGCGCCGGGAUUUGGCUUUGACUGCAUGUUCAAAAACACUUCAAUGAAGUUUGAGCUGCUUAGUGAUUAUAAUAUGUUAUUAUUAUUUGAAAAUGGUUAGUGAAUUAUUUUUUUAACACGAAUAAAAAUAUUUAUUUAUACAUUUUUUUAGGUAUAUGAAAGGGAUUAGUACAAGCGAAUAAGCAUAAUCGUAAAUUUGGUGAAAUUACUGGAGGGGCUGAGCAAUAUAUACUCAUUACGUCUACAUAAUGCUAAGUCCUGUAAUUUAAACUUCUGGGGGAGCUUAGUCCCCUUGAGCCCCCCCCAAGAUUUCGCCUAUGCGUAUAUAUGCUUUGGUAAGGCUAGUACUGAAAAAAUUGCGGAAUAUGAUAGGGAAAAAGACAAAUCAAGGUAAUGAUUUGUAUGCGCGGGGAAUAUCUCAAUAUAUGCCAAAAAGCUAGGAAUGACUGAGAACUAAGAAUGUGUUCUUAAGUUGAUGAACAACACAGUGUUUAUUAAACGAUGGAGUAUACGAGAAAGAGAAUACAAAUAGAGAUAGUGUCAAAUGAAAGUAGAGUGCAAAAACUUCUUAACAAAACAAUGUUUAAAUACGCAACUUUUUAUAGUGAGAAUCUGAGUGUUAUAACACUAGAGAUUAAAUUUAUAUGUUUCUGUACACCUAUUUAUAAAGGUAUAAAUAUUCAUAAUAUAAUACAUUUUCUAUGAUAAGUUGAGUUAAACGAUGUAGAAAAUUGAAUAUUAGGCCAUAAUUUGUUAAUACUUUUUUAUCAUUUCUUUUAUUUUGUCUAUCAUAUUGUAAAUACAU